CUCCUGCUCCAGCCGCGUGAUGCGCUCACUCUUCUCAGCCACCUGAGUGAGGAGUCGGUUCUGCUCCUUCGGCACGAGGAUGGUCUGCUGCUGCCAGCCCGGGGCGAGGUGGACGUCAGGGCAGGGCAAGGGGGCCCGGAGGAGUGGGCAAGGCCUGGCUGGCACAGGCCACAGCCAGCAGCUCCCCCAGGCCCCGGGCCACCUCCUGUACCUCGGGCAGUAGUCGCCCCAGUGGGCGGGGGCUCCCCGCAACCCCAGAGUUGGCGCGGGCUCUGCUCUGGCCCAGGCGGCGCUGGCGCUCCGGCACUCCUGCUGCUGCUGCUGCUGCUGGUACCUGUCGCCGCCCCGCGCCAUCAUCUCCAAACCCUGCAGCAGCACCUCCUCCUGCUCCAGCUCCUUUACCUGCUUUGGCAGGCCGCAGCCCACGCCGCUGGUGAUGGUGAAUCUCCCACAUUCCCCUCGGGCACGGGGCCGCCGGGCAUCCCGAGUCCACCUCCAGGGCCUGCAGGCCGUUGCACCUGCGUCCGCGCUCGGGCUCCGUUACAGCGCCGCCUGGACGGGGUGAGGGGUGGGGCACAGCUGCUCCGGGCUGCGGGCCCGCGCUGCUGGGGACGGUCGAAGAGCGUGCACGCCCAGGGGCAGGGGCUUCCUUUCCAGUACAGACCGCGGCUAGGAGGGGGGCACCAACACCAGGAACUGCAGCAGCGACUGGUCCCCUGGGGGGCCGUGGCACGCUUGGAGCCCGGGGCUGCCGUCAGCCUCAGCAGCGAAGUGCGCAGGCCGGCCACGAAGCGCUCAAAGAUCAAGUCGCCGCUGGCCGGGGCCAUCUGGCACAGACCCUGGAGCACCCCGCGGGGCAGCUCCUGCGCGUCCGCACUCUGCCACCGGGACUCGAUUUCAUGCAGGUGCACCAGCCGCUACGCUGGUUGUCCAGAAUGUGGAACAGGGUGUGCUGGCUCUGCAGGAAGGCGUGGGGCAGCCCCUUGUUGCUGGGCGAAGGGGCGGGCUACGCAGGAGGCACGCAGCCCUGCUCAGCAGUCAUGGUUCCGGUCCCCGUGUCCACCCAUUUGUUCUCUCGCGUCCCCACAGCGGGGCCGGCUCCGCGCGCUCCCGUAUUUAUUUUUAAGAGAGACAGGGUCUUGUGUUGCCCAGGCUGGUCUGAAUUCCUUGACUCAAGGGAUCUUCCCACCUUGCCCUCCAGAGCGUUAG
RNAcentral lists this long non-coding RNA (1209 nucleotides) under Callithrix jacchus (white-tufted-ear marmoset). RNAcentral describes it as "lncRNA (ENSCJAG00000084287.1)". The record is from RNAcentral. Lineage: Eukaryota; Metazoa; Chordata; Mammalia; Primates; Cebidae.